This 77-nucleotide transfer RNA is filed under the name Actinomadura barringtoniae. RNAcentral describes it as "tRNA-Leu". It matches the Rfam family "tRNA". Rfam says of the family: Transfer RNA (tRNA) molecules are approximately 80 nucleotides in length. Their secondary structure includes four short double-helical elements and three loops (D, anti-codon, and T loops). Lineage: Bacteria; Bacillati; Actinomycetota; Actinomycetes; Streptosporangiales; Thermomonosporaceae. The record is from RNAcentral.
CCCUCCGUAGCCCAAUGGGUAGAGGUACCAGCCUGAGGUGCUGGAGGUUGCAGGUUCGAAUCCUGCCGGGGGGACCA